RNAcentral lists this ribosomal RNA (586 nucleotides) under Chryseobacterium sp. 399. RNAcentral's name for it is "bacterial SSU rRNA". It matches the Rfam family "Bacterial small subunit ribosomal RNA", at positions 646 to 1238 of the family's 1533-position model. Lineage: Bacteria; Pseudomonadati; Bacteroidota; Flavobacteriia; Flavobacteriales; Weeksellaceae. The record is from RNAcentral.
GUAAGGUAGAAGUGGCUGGAAUAAGUAGUGUAGCGGUGAAAUGCAUAGAUAUUACUUAGAACACCAAUUGCGAAGGCAGGUCACUAUGUCUUAACUGACGCUGAUGGACGAAAGCGUGGGGAGCGAACAGGAUUAGAUACCCUGGUAGUCCACGCCGUAAACGAUGCUAACUCGUUUUUGGGGCUUUAUGCUUCAGAGACUAAGCGAAAGUGAUAAGUUAGCCACCUGGGGAGUACGUUCGCAAGAAUGAAACUCAAAGGAAUUGACGGGGGCCCGCACAAGCGGUGGAUUAUGUGGUUUAAUUCGAUGAUACGCGAGGAACCUUACCAAGGCUUAAAUGGGAAUUGAUCGGUUUAGAAAUAGACCUUCCUUCGGGCAAUUUUCAAGGUGCUGCAUGGUUGUCGUCAGCUCGUGCCGUGAGGUGUUAGGUUAAGUCCUGCAACGAGCGCAACCCCUGUCACUAGUUGCCAUCAUUAAGUUGGGGACUCUAGUGAGACUGCCUACGCAAGUAGAGAGGAAGGUGGGGAUGACGUCAAAUCAUCACGGCCCUUACGCCUUGGGCCACACACGUAAUACAAUGGCCGGU